Molecule: unclassified non-coding RNA, 253 nt
Filed under: uncultured Bacillaceae bacterium
Lineage: Bacteria; Bacillati; Bacillota; Bacilli; Caryophanales; Bacillaceae
Description: contains 16S-23S intergenic spacer region
Rfam family: Bacterial small subunit ribosomal RNA
Source: RNAcentral
GACGUAGGAUGCAAGCGUUGUCCGGAAUUAUUGGGCGUAAAGCGCGCGCAGGCGGCCUUUUAAGUCUGAUGUGAAAUCUCGGGGCUCAACCCCGAGCGGCCAUUGGAAACUGGGAGACUUGAGUACAGAAGAGGAGAGUGGAAUUCCACGUGUAGCGGUGAAAUGCGUAGAUAUGUGGAGGAACACCAGUGGCGAAGGCGACUCUCUGGUCUGUAACUGACGCUGAGGUACGAAAGCAUGGGGAGCAAACAGG